CAGUCUGCGAUUGGCUGUCGCGGUGUGAGGUGUCUGGGGCCGCCGCUUGGCUUGGGGAUCGGCUAGGGCUCGAUACAAAUUUAUCGGGAAGGGGGCAGUGAAGCAUCCUAGUUAUGUGAGUGACUAUGUCAUAUGUGGUGCGAUGAAGCUAUGAUCAUUUUUCAUAGCAGCGGGACUGAUAAAGUGGUUGAGAAGUGAGCGAGUGAAGUGCUGUGCGUGAGGGUGGGGUGCUUGACACACAUUUAUUCCUUUCGCCCGGCAUUAACCAUUGAUUUAAAGCAGAUUUGAAGCGCUAGCGCCGGGGCCGGACCGGGUCCUCUCUGAUCGUGGUCGUACGGCUGACCUGCGGCUGCCCUACUGGUGACCUGCCGCACCAGCUGGCGUCCUUCGAUCGACCCGUGACACCGACCGUGGAGUGGCCUUCCGCACACCUGAGAUAGCUGGCGAUCCACGGGAACUUCUCCGAGUGUCCUGCCUGCGCGGCGCCGAACCGCGGCCGUCGGGACGCUGCGGGCCCGUCGGGACGGGCUGGGGAGUGAGUGACCUGACCGACCGCAGCAGCAGCCACCUGCACCCCAGUCAGCACCAUGGCGGACCUCGAGGCGGUGCUGGCGGACGUCAGCUACCUCAUGGCCAUGGAGAAGUCCAAGUCGACGCCGGCAGCGCGGGCCAGCAAGAAGAUCGUCCUGCCCGACCCCAGCGUGCGGAGCGUAAUGCACAAAUACAUGGAGAAGAUGGGCGAAGUCACUUUCGACAAGAUAUUCAACCAGCGACUAGGUGAGUAC
Amphibalanus amphitrite is the source of this 785-nucleotide long non-coding RNA. RefSeq lists it as uncharacterized. The record is from RefSeq and is a predicted model, not a curated record. The transcript is spliced from 3 exons. Lineage: Eukaryota; Metazoa; Arthropoda; Thecostraca; Balanomorpha; Balanidae.